Molecule: long non-coding RNA, 820 nt
Organism: Asparagus officinalis (garden asparagus)
Lineage: Eukaryota; Viridiplantae; Streptophyta; Magnoliopsida; Asparagales; Asparagaceae
Exons: 4
Source: RefSeq, a predicted model, not a curated record
UGAGCUCGAAAUUAGUAAAUCAGAAAUGGCAAAAUUUUUAUCCCUCCUCAAAAACUGCAAACUUAUUUUUUUUUCCCCGCUCCCAAUUUCCACAAUCAUAAUCAAAAUCUAAUCUUUCUCCUCUCUAUCGCAGCUCCGGAUCCCUUCUCAUUUGCUCGCUCUCGCGCGUGAACUUACGUUCAAUUUCUUUUUUUUUCUUUCUCUCUCUUUCUCCCCCCUUUUAUUUCAAAUUAAUUUUCUGCAAUUUGUGCAGGUUCAUCAGAGGCUACAUGGCAUUCAAGAUUCCUCAUAGUUAAUUAAUGGUUGAUCGUGAGCAAUGCGCUUCUGUUCACCGUGGAUCCUGCGAUCGCACUCAGAUGCGAUCAAUUUCUAUGAUUAUAUGGUGGUUUCGUAGAGUGAUGGUCUGGCCUGUGGACUUUAAAGAAGUCUUGGCAAUACAUGUAGCAGAGCGUCCCACUCACGGCUCAACAAACUGACAGUUUUUGUGUCAGGUGAUGAGGUGUCCAAGGGUGUCAAAUCUAUCAGUGUUGGGUAUAAUUUUGGAUGUUUCUAGUUUGAAAAAUCCAAGUAUUUUCGGAAUGAUCUGGGAAAUCAUGCUGCAGAUUUUAUUCUUCUAUUUUUUGGUCAGUAGUAAACUAGAUGCAUUAUUCCAUUUAUUUGGAAUUUUUUGUUUUUUUAUUGAAUUAUUUGGUUCCCCAAAACUGUGAGCGUACUGUAAGUCUGUAACAACUUAAAAUUGUUUUUUAAGUAUUAAACAUUUAAUGGCCAAGUUUAUUUUUACUCCAACAGUCCUUAUUCUGUUACAGUCAAAAUUAAAAAU